AUUCUCUCUCAGCAAUUACAACAGAUGGAAGCUGAGCUGAGCACUUAAGGAACACUAUAGAAACAGAAAAGACAGGAGUCCAAGGUUUUGAUAGAAAAGAUGGAACUAGAAGUGGCAGAGAGAAAACUAUCUUUCCAUAACCUGCAAGAAGAAAUGCAUCAUCUUCUGGAACAGCUUGAACAAGCAGGCCAAGCCCAGGCUGAACUGCAGUCCCGGCACAGUGCUUUGGAACAGAAGCACAAUGCAGAAAUGGAAGAGAAGACCUCUCACAUUUGAGCCUUCAAAAAUCUGAGCAAGAGCUGCACUCUGCCUGUGAUGCCCUCAAGGAUCAAAAUUCAAAACUUCUCCAAGAUAAAAAUGAACAGGCAGCUCAUUCAGCCCAGGUCAUUCAGCAGCUGGAAGAUCAACUCCAGCAAAAAUCUGAAGAAAUUAACCAAUUUCUAAAUAAGCCACCAUUGCUAAAACAUGAAACAGCAUCUCAGACUUGUUUGCCAGAUGUUUCUCAUGAGGGCACACAGGCAGUCACUGAAGAGAGUAUUGCGUUUUUGCAGAAGAGAGUGGUAGAACUAGAGAAUGAAAAGGGAGUCUUGCUCCUUAAUUCUGUAGAGCUGGAGGAGCUGAAAGCUGAGAAUGAAAAACUAUCCUCUCAGAUUACUCUCCUGGAGUCUCAGAAGAGAACUGGAGAGGUAGACAGAGAAGUCCAUGAGGUGAACAUGGUUGAUAUUACCAGGCUCAACAACAGCAGUUUUUCUGCUGAGGAAAGUGGACAAGAUGCCCUGGAGAACACAUUUACUCAGAAGCAUAAAGAACUAUCUGUUUUAUUGCUGGAAAUGAAAGAAGCUCAAGAGGAGAUUGCAUUUCUUAAGAUGCAGCUUCAAGGCAAAAGGGCAGAAGGUGACCCUGAGUUCCUUGAUCAGAAAGAAAUGAAACAGAUAGAGAGUGAAGGAAUACCUCCAGUUAAAAUGACAGUGUUGCUUGAAGAUACAGGGCAGCAUUUUCCACCGACGCCAGAUAAAGAGAACAGUCUCACAACAACUGAGAAAGAAGAGCAGAUGAGCCCCGAACACCAGCGUAGACCAUCUGAGGAAAUAUCUUUAAAUUACACUGGAGUGGAAUUAAAAUCAGCCAAGCAGGACGAUGAUGAUAAACCCUCUUCUGCUGUCCCAGGUAUUUGUCAGUGUCACCAGGAUGAAUUGGAAAGACUAAAAGGUCAAGUUUUGGAGCUUGAGGUAAACCUUCGUAAGGCAGAAGAAAUCUAUGAGAAAAAUUUAGAUGAGAAAGCUAAGGAAAUAGGCAUCCUAACCCAGCUGAUUGAAGAGUUUAAGAAAAAUGCUGAAAACACCAACAAUGCUUUCACUGCUUUGUCUGAAGAAAGAGACCAGCUUCUUGCUCAGGUGAAGGAACUUUGUGUGGUAACGGAACUGAGGGCUCAGGUACAGCAACUAGAAGUGAGCCUUGCAGAAGCAGAAACGCAAAGAAGACUUGACUAUGAAAGUCAGACUGCUCAUCAUGACUUGCUCACUGAACAGAUCCACAGCCUCACCAUAGAAGCCAAAUCUAAAGAUGUGAAGAUUGAAGUUUUACAGAAUGAACUAGAUGGUGUGCAGGUUCAGUUUUCUGAGCAGAGUACUUUGAUCAAAAGCCUGCAGAGCCAGCUGCAGAGGAAGGAAAGUGAAGUGCUUGAGGGGGCAGAACGUGAGAGGGAGGUCUCAAAUAAGGUGGAAGAACUUUCACAGGCCCUUUCACAGAAGGAACUUGAAAUAGCAAAAAUGGAUCAACUCUUACUAGAAAAAAAGAAAGAUGUGGAAAUACUCCAACAGACCAUUGAGGAGAAGGAUCAGCAAGUGACAGAAAUCAGCUUUAGUAUGACAGAGAAAAUGGUUCAGCUUAAUGAAGAGAAAUUUUCUCUUGGGGUUGAAAUAAAGACUCUUAAAGAACAGCUGAAUUUAUUAUCCAGAGCUGAAGAGACCAAAAAAGAGCAGAUGGAAGAAGAUAAAGAAAUUGUUUCCAGCAUUAAACAGAAUUUUGAUGAGUUGAGCCCAGCAGGGCUAAUAAGUAAAGAAGAACUUCAACGUGAAUUAGACCUUGUAAAGAAAGAAAGUGAGCAGAGAAAGAGAAAGCUCCAGGCUGCUCUUAUUAAUAGAAAGGAACUUCUACAGAAAGUCAGUAGAUUAGAAGAGGAAUUGGCCAAAGUGAAAGAUGAACCCAGCAAAGAGAUCCUACUCCAUGAGAGUGAGAGGAGGGAAGUGGAAGAAGAUAAAGAAAGCAAAGAAGACUUAGAAAAAUGUGUGACUUCUAAGUGCCAAGAAAUAGAAAUGUCUUUAAAACAGAUAAUAUCUGAGAAGGAAAUGGAACUAGAGCACAUUAGGAAGGAUUUGGAAGAAAAGGCAGCAAUAGAAGAACAGUUACAGGCUGUGGUCAAACAGAUGAAUCAGAAUUUACAGGAGAAGACAAACCAGAUAGAUCUGCUCCAAGCAGAAGUCAUUGAAAACCAAGCAAUUAUCCAAAAGUUAACCACAGGUAACAAGGAUGCAGGUGAUGGAGACUCAGCAGCACCUGUAAAAGAAGCAGUGGCCAUCAGUCCGCUUGGUGCAGGUAGUGGAGAACACUGGAAACCAGAACUGGAAGGAAAAAUAGUGGACCUUGAAAAAGAAAAGGAGCAACUUCAAAAGAAGCUACAGGAAGUAUUAACCUCUCGCAAGGUGAUUCUGAAAAAGGCACGGGAGAAAGAAAGACAUCUUAGGGAGGAGCUAAAGCAACAGAAGGAUGACUAUAAUCGCUUGCAAGAACAGUUUGAUGAGCAGAGCAAGGAAAAUGAGAACAUUGGGGACCAACUAAAACAACUGCAGAUUCAAGUACAGGAAUCUAUGGACAGAAAAGUCCCAGGCAGUGGCCAGCAGGAACCAGGCUCUCCCACUCAAGGUUUAGAAGAACCUUUAUUCAAAGCCACAAAACAGCAGCCUGUUCAAUCUGUUUCAGAGUCUGACUUGCACCUAGACUGGCCUUCUCAUCUUGGAGAUACAAAUGCUCUGCAGGGCAAUACUGCUAUUGCCCAGAUUAAGACCCAGCUGAAAGAAAUAGAGGCUGAGAAAGAAGAGUUAGAGUUAAAGGUUAACUCUACAAUAAAUGAGCUGACUAAAAAAUCCGAAGAGGUAUUUCAGUUACAAGAGCAGAUAAAUAAACAGGAUUUAGAAAUCCAGAGUCUGAAGGCAGAGUCCUGUGAAGCUGAAGCCCAUGCAGAAACCCUGAGGCAAAAACUGGAAAGCAGUCAACUAGAGAUCGCUGGAUUAGAGCAGUUAAGAGAAUUGAAGCCUGAACUAGAUGAACUGCAAAAACUCAUAAGCAAAAAGGAAGAAGAAGUUAGAUACCUUUCUGGACUGCUUAGUGAAAAGGAAACAGCCCUUACUAAAGUACAAACGGAGAUAACAGAACAAGAGGAUUUAGUAAAGGCACUGCAUACACAGCUGGAAAUGCAAGCCAAAGAACAUGAUGAGAAGAUAAAGCAGUUCCAGGUGGAGCUUUGCGAACUGAAGCAGAAACCAGAAGAGACCGGAGAAGAAAGUAAAGCAAAACAGCAAAUACAGAGGAAACUGCAAGCUGCCCUCAUUUCCCGAAAGGAAGCACUAAAAGAAAACAAAGGUCUCCAGGAGGAGCUGUCUUUGGCCAGAGACACCAUUGAGCAUCUCACUAAGUCUCUGGCAGAUGUGGAAAACCAAGUUUCUGCUCAAAAUAGAGAAAAAGAUGUAUUCUUAGGAAAGUUAGCUCUUCUUCAGGAAGAAAGAGACAAACUCAUUGCAGAAGUAGACAGAUCUUUAAUGGAAAAUCAAAGUCUCAGUGGUUCUUGUGAAAGUCUGAAAUUAGCACUGGAGGGUCUUACUGAAGACAAGGAAAACUUAACGAAGGAAAUUGAAUCUUUGAAAUGUUCCAAGAUUGCAGAAAGCACUGAGUGGCAAGAGAAACACCAAGAGUUGCAAAAGGAAUAUGAAAUUCUUCUGCAGUCCUAUGAGAAUGUUAGUAAUGAGGCAGAAAGAAUUCAGCAUGUAGUGGAAACUGUGAGGCAGGAGAAGCAGGAACUUUAUGGCAAGUUAAGAAGCACAGAAGCAAACAAGAAAGAAACAGAAAAGCAGUUACAGGAAGCUGAACAGGAAAUGGAGGAGAUGAAAAGAAAGAUGAGAAAGUUUGCUAAAUCUAAACAGCAGAAAAUCCUAGAGUUGGAAGAAGAGAAUGAACGGCUUAGAGCAGAGGUACAUCCUGCAGGAGAUACAUCUAAAGAUAGUAUGGAAGCACUUCUUUUCCUCCAAUUCCAACAUGAAGGAGGAGCUGGAAAGGGUCAAAACAGAAUAUAAAACCCUCUCUAAGGAGUUUGAGGCCUUAAAGGCAGAAAAGGACUCUUUAAGUGAAGAGGUUCAACAUUUAAAACAUCAGAUAGAAGAUAAUGUAUCCAAACAAGCUAGCCUGGAGCCCACUGAGAAGCAUGACAACCAGCUGGCUGUCACUGAAGAGGCAACCCCUUCUGCUCCAGGUGAGGCUGAGGAGCAAGACUCCCCCAGGUAUGAACACGAGGCCUGAAAAUUUAGAAUCCACUCUAUCAGAGAACAGUGCCAAGCCUGACAUAUGUGAGAAUGUCAGCUUACAUGAUGAAAUUAAUAACUACCUUCAGCAGAUUGAUCAGCUCAAAGAAAGAAUCACUGAAUUAGAGGAAGGCAAGCAGAAAGACCAGGACUUUAGCCAGAAUUUAGAAAACGAGAGAGAUACUUUACUGAGUCAAAUAGCAGCAAAAGGAUGGUGAACUAAAAAUGCUUCAGGAAGAAGUAACCAAAAUAAACCUAUUAAAUCAGCAAACCCAAGAAGAACUUGCCAGAAUUACCAAGUUAAAGGAGACAGCAGAAGAAGAGAAAGAUGACUUGGAAGAGAGGCUUAUGAAUCAAUUAGCAGAACUUAAUGGAAGCAUUGGGAAUUAUUAUCAGGAUGUUACAGAUGCCCAGAUCAAAAAUGAGCUACUAGAAUCCGAAAUGCAGAACCUUAAAAAGUGUGUGAGUGAAUUGGAAGAAGAAAAGCAACAGUUAGUCAAGGAGAAAACUAAGGUGGAAUCAGAAAUACGAAAGGAAUAUAUGGAGAAAAUACAAGGUGCUCAGAAAGGACCUGGCAAUAAAAGCCACGCGAAGGAACUUCAGGAGCUGCUAAAAGAAAAACAGCAAGAAGUAAAAGCAGCUGCAGACGGACUGUAUUAGGUACCAAGAGAAAAUCAGUGCUCUGGAGAGAACUGUUAAGGCUCUAGAAUUUGUUCAGACUGAGUCCCAAAAAGAUUUGGAAGUAACCAAAGAAAAUCUGGCUUCAAGCCAAUGAACACCGCAAGAAGGCAGAAUCGGAAUUAGCUAGCUUCAAAGUACUGCUAGAUGACACUCAAAGUGAAGCAGCAAGGGUCCUAGCAGACAAUCUCAAGUUGAAAAAGGAGCUUCAGUCAAAUAAAGAAUCCAUUAAAAGCCAAAUGAAACAAAAGGAUGAAGAUCUUGAGCGAAGACUGGAGCAAGUAGAGGAGAAACACCUGAAAGAGAAGAAGAAUAUGCAAGAGAACUGGACGCUUUGUGUAGAGAAAAGGUCCACUUGGAAGAGACAUUUGGAGAGGUCAGGUCACUUUGAACAAGAAAGACAAGGAAGUUAAGCAACUUCAGGAAAACCUGGAUAGUACUGUGGCCCAGCUGGCAGCUUUCACUAAGAGCAUGUCUUCCCUCCAGGAUGAUCGGGACCAGGGUGAUAGAUGAAGCCAAAAAGUGGGAGAGGAAGUUCAGUGAUGCUAUUCAGACCAAAGAAGAAGAAAUUAGACUUAAAGAGGAGAAUUGCAGCGUUCUAAAGGAUCAGCUUAGGCAGAUGUCCAUCCAUAUGGAGGAACUGAAGAUCAACAUUUCCAGGCUUGAGCAUGACAAACAAAUGUGGGAAUCCAAAGCUCAGACAGAGGUCCAGAUUCAGCAGAAGGUCUGUGAUACUCUGCAAGGAGAAAACAGAGAACUUUUGUCCCAGCUCGAAGAGACUCAAAAUCUAUACGUAGCUCUCAGGAUGAUUUAGCUAAGUUGGAAUCAGAACUGAAGAUUCUCAGAGACCAGUCAACUGAUUUAAAUAACUCUCUAGAAAAAUUUAAGGAAAAUAAAGAAAAUUUGGAAGGGAUCAUAAAGCAGAAAGAGGCUGAUAUCCAGAAUUGUAAGUUCAGUUAUGAGCAGCUGGAGACUGAUCUUCAGGCUGCCAGGCAACUGACCAGUAGGCUGCAUGAAGAAAUAAACAUGAAGGAGCAGAAGAUUAUAAGCCUGCUUUCUGCCAAGGAAACAGGCAGUCCAAGUGGCCGUGGCUGAACUUGCAUCAGCAGCAUGAUAAAGAAAUUAAAGAACUGGAAAAUCUGCUGUCCCAGGAGGAAGAGGAGAACACUGUCUUAGAAGAGGAGAACAAAAAAGCUGGUUGAUAGAACCAAUCAGCUUAUGGAAACACUGAAAAACAUGAAAAAGGAGAACUUGCAGCAGAAGGCUCAGUUGAAUUCCUUCGUUAAAUCCAUGUCUUCUCUCCAGGAUGACCGAGACCGCAUAGUCAGUGACUACCAACAGCUGGAAGAACGACAUCUCUCUGUGAUCUUGGAAAAAGACCAACUCAUUCAAGAUGCUGCUACUGAGAAUAAUAAGCUGAAGGAGGAAAUCCGAAGCUUGAGAAGUCAUAUGGAUGACCUUAAUUCUGAGAAUGCCAAGCUCAGUGCCAGAGCUGAUCCAGUAUAGAGAAGACCUGAACCAAGUGUUGUCAAAGAAAGACUGUCAGCCAAAAGCAGCUCCUUGAAGCUCCAGCUUCAGCAGGUCAAGGAGCUGAAAGGUGAAUAUGUUAAAUUAGAAGCAAAGCUCAAGGAGUCCUGAGGAAGCAAGGGGAGGAGCUACAGAGGUCCUCUCUUGCCCUCCAGGAGGAGAAAACAAGAUUUAGCUAAAGAGACUGAGAGCUUGAAAGUCUCUCUAUCACAAUUAAAGAAACAGUUGACAGGCCCUUGCAAGAAGAAGGUACUCUAGGAAUAUUUCAGGCCCAAUUAAAAGCCAAAGAAGAAGAGGUACAGAAGUUAAGUACUAUCCUUUCUUCCUCUCAGAAGAAGUUAUGGAACUGGAAGAGGAAUUGGUUCAUGUUCAGAAGGAAGCUGCCAAGAAGGUAGGUGAAAUUGAAGACAAACUGAAGAAAGAAUUAAAGCAUCUUCAUCACGAUGCAGGGAUAAUGCGCAAUGAAACUGAGACAGGCAGAAGGAGAGGGUGGCGGAGCUAGCAAGAGAUCUGGUGGAGAUGGAACAGAAGUUACUCGUGGUCACCAAAGAAAAUAAAGAUCUCACAGCACAAAUCCAGUCUUUUGGAAGGUCAAUGAGUUCCCUACAAAACAGUAGAGAUCAGGCGCAUGAGGAACUUGAGGAACUGAAAAGGAAAUAUGAGGCCAGUCUGAAGGAGCUGGCACAGCUGAGAGAACAGGGCCUCUUAAGCAGGGAGAGAGACAUUCUUGUUUCUAAAGCUGCAUUUCCAGUGAUUUCCACUGAGGAUAACAGCUUGCCUCACCUUGAGAAACUUAACCAGCAGCUUCUGUCCAAAGAUGAGCAACUGCUUCACUUGUCGUCACAACUGGAAGAUUCUUACAACCAAGUGCAGUCCUUUUCCAAGGCUAUGGCCAGCCUGCAGAAUGAGAGAGAGCGCCUGUUGAGUGAACUGGAGAAAUUACGCAGUCAGAGGAGGAGGAGCAGAGGUCCGCAGCCCCACCUGCAACCAGCCCUGCUGAAGUACAGAGUUUAAAAAAGCUAUGUCAUCACUCCAAAAUGACCGGGACCGACUA
This is an RNA transcript of Capra hircus (goat), 7830 nucleotides long. It is a transcript of the gene named golgin subfamily B member 1-like, with no coding region annotated. The record is from RefSeq and is a predicted model, not a curated record. The transcript has 6 exons. NCBI's taxonomy places the organism in Eukaryota, Metazoa, Chordata, Mammalia, Artiodactyla, Bovidae.